UAGCCAUGAUGCGGACAACUUAUGAUCAUGUCUUUGAAUCUCUCACAUGCCUCAUAUAAAGACUCUUGCUCAUAUUGAACAAAGUUGACAAUGUCAGCUCGAAGUUU
This is a non-coding RNA of Cicer arietinum (chickpea), 107 nucleotides long. NCBI's taxonomy places the organism in Eukaryota, Viridiplantae, Streptophyta, Magnoliopsida, Fabales, Fabaceae. The record is from Rfam.